CAGCCGCCACGGUAAGACGAACCGUGCGAACGUUAUUCGGAAUCACUGGGCUUAAAGCGCGUGUAGGCGGGAGGGCACGUCCGUCGCUGAAAUCCCCCGGCUCAACCGGGGAACGGGCGCGGAUACGACUCUUCUGGAGGAACGUAGGGGGACCUGGAACUUCCGGUGGAGCGGUGAAAUGCGUUGAGAUCGGAAGGAACGCCCGUGGCGAAAGCGAGGUCCUGGACGUUUACUGACGCUGAGACGCGAAAGCCAGGGGAGCGAACGGGAUUAGAUACCCCAGUAGUCCCUGUCUCUUAUA
Molecule: ribosomal RNA, 301 nt
Filed under: uncultured bacterium
Lineage: Bacteria
Description: partial 16S ribosomal RNA
Rfam family: Bacterial small subunit ribosomal RNA
Source: RNAcentral